RNAcentral lists this ribosomal RNA (1158 nucleotides) under Anaplasma phagocytophilum. Its description in RNAcentral is "bacterial SSU rRNA". It matches the Rfam family "Bacterial small subunit ribosomal RNA", at positions 135 to 1327 of the family's 1533-position model. Lineage: Bacteria; Pseudomonadati; Pseudomonadota; Alphaproteobacteria; Rickettsiales; Anaplasmataceae. The record is from RNAcentral.
AGUAUGGGAUAGCCMCUAGAAAUGGUGGGUAAUACUGUAUAAUCCCUGCGGGGGAAAGAUUUAUCGCUAUUAGAUGAGCCUAUGUUAGAUUAGCUAGUUGGUAGGGUAAAGGCCUACCAAGGCGAUGAUCUAUAGCUGGUCUGAGAGGAUGWYCAGCCACACUGGAACUGAGAUACGGYCCAGACUCCUACGGGAGGCAGCAGUGGGGAAUAUUGGACAAUGGGCGCAAGCCUGAUCCAGCUAUGCCGCGUGAGUGAGGAAGGCCUUAGGGUUGUAAAACUCUUUCAGUAGGGAAGAUAAUGACGGUACCUACAGAAGAAGUCCCGGMAAACUCCGUGCCAGCAGCCGCGGUAAUACGGAGGGGGCAAGCGUUGUYCGGAAUUAUUGGGCGUAAAGGGCAUGUAGGCGGUUCGGUAAGUUHAAGGUGAAAUGCCHGGGCUUAACCCUGGAGCUGCUUUUAAUACUGCCAGACUAGAGUCCGGGAGAGGAUAGCGGAAUUCCUAGUGUAGAGGUGAAAUUCGUAGAUAUUAGGAGGAACWCCAGUGGCGAAGGCGGCUAUCUGGUCCGGUACUGACGCUGAGGUGCGAAAGCGUGGGGASCAAACHGGAUWAGAUACCCUGGUAGUCCACGCUGUAAACGAUGAGUGCUGAAUGUGGGGAUUUUUUAUCUCUGUGUUGUAGCUAACGCGUUAAGCACUCCGCCUGGGGACUACGGUCGCAAGACUAAAACUCAAAGGAAUUGACGGGGACCCGCACAAGCGGUGGAGCAUGUGGUUUAAUUCGAUGCAACGCGAAAAACCUUACCACUCCUUGACAUGGAGAUUAGAUCCUUCUUAACGGAAGGGCGCAGUUCGGCUGGAUCUCGCACAGGUGCUGCAUGGCUGUCGUCAGCUCGUGUCGUGAGAUGUUGGGUUAAGUCCCGCAACGAGCGUAACCCUCAUCCUUAGUUGCCAGCGGGUUAAGCCGGGCACUUUAAGGAAACUGCCAGUGGUAAACUGGAGGAAGGUGGGGAUGAUGUCAAGUCAGCACGGCCCUUAUGGGGUGGGCUACACACGUGCUACAAUGGUGACUACAAUAGGUUGCAAUGUCGCAAGGCUGAGCUAAUCCGUAAAAGUCAUCUCAGUUCGGAUUGUCCUCUGCAACUCGAGGGCAUGAAGUC